GAUGAACGCUGGCGGCGUGCCUAAUACAUGCAAGUCGAGCGAACAGACGAGGAGCUUGCUCCUCUGACGUUAGCGGCGGACGGGUGAGUAACACGUGGAUAACCUACCUAUAAGACUGGGCUAACUUCGGGAAACCGGAGCUAAUACCGGAUAAUAUAUUGAACCGCAUGGUUCAAUAGUGAAAGACGGUUUUGCUGUCACUUAUAGAUGGAUCCGCGCCGCAUUAGCUAGUUGGUAAGGUAACGGCUUACCAAGGCAACGAUGCGUAGCCGACCUGAGAGGGUGACCGGCCACACUGGAACUGAGACACGGUCCAGACUCCUACGGGAGGCAGCAGUAGGGAAUCUUCCGCAAUGGGCGAAAGCUUGACGGAGCAACGCCGCGUGAGUGAUGAAGGUCUUCGGAUCGUAAAACUCUGUUAUUAGGGAAGAACAAAUGUGUAAGUAACUAUGCACGUCUUGACGGUACCUAAUCAGAAAGCCACGGCUAACUACGUG
This 497-nucleotide ribosomal RNA is filed under the name uncultured bacterium. RNAcentral describes it as "partial 16S ribosomal RNA". It matches the Rfam family "Bacterial small subunit ribosomal RNA", at positions 28 to 507 of the family's 1533-position model. The record is from RNAcentral.